This 497-nucleotide ribosomal RNA is filed under the name uncultured bacterium. RNAcentral's name for it is "partial 16S ribosomal RNA". It matches the Rfam family "Bacterial small subunit ribosomal RNA", at positions 28 to 507 of the family's 1533-position model. The record is from RNAcentral.
GAUGAACGCUGGCGGCGUGCCUAAUACAUGCAAGUCGAGCGAACAGACGAGGAGCUUGCUCCUCUGACGUUAGCGGCGGACGGGUGAGUAACACGUGGAUAACCUACCUAUAAGACUGGGAUAACUUCUGGAAACCGGAGCUAAUACCGGAUAAUAUAUUGAACCGCAUGGUUCAAUAGUGAAAGACGGUUUUGCUGUCACUUAUAGAUGGAUCCGCGCCGCAUUAGCUAGUUGGUAAGGUAACGGCUUACCAAGGCAACGAUGCGUAGCCGACCUGAGAGGGUGAUCGGCCACACUGGAACUGAGACACGGUCCAGACUCCUACGGGAGGCAGCAGUAGGGAAUCUUCAGCAAUGGGCGAAAGCUUGACGGAGCAACGCCGCGUGAGUGAUGAAGGUCUUCGGAUCGUAAAACUCUGUUAUUAGGGAAGAACAAAUGUGUAAGUAACUAUGCACGUCUUGACGGUACCUAAUCAGAAAGCCACGGCUAACUACGUG